RNAcentral lists this ribosomal RNA (406 nucleotides) under uncultured bacterium. Its description in RNAcentral is "partial 16S ribosomal RNA". It matches the Rfam family "Bacterial small subunit ribosomal RNA", at positions 30 to 526 of the family's 1533-position model. The record is from RNAcentral.
AUUGAACGCUGGCGGCAGGCCUAACACAUGCAAGUCGAACGAAUGGCGGACGGGUGAGUAAUGUCUGAGAAACUGCCCGAUGGAGGGGGAUAACUACUGGAAACGGUAGCUAAUCCCGCAUACCCUCGGAUGUGCCCAGAUGGGAUUAGCUAGUAGGUGGGGUAACGGCUGCCCUCGGCGACGAUCCCUAGCUGGGCUGAGAGGAGGACCAGCCACACUGGAACUGAGACACGGUCCAGACUCCUACGGGAGGCAGCAGUGGGGAAUAUUGCACAAGGGGCGCAAGCCUGAGGCAGCCAUGCCGAGUGUAUGAAGAAGGCCUUCGGGUUGUAAAGUACUUUUAGCGAGGAGGCGUUACUCGCAGAAGAAGCACCGGCUAACUCCGUGCCAGCCGCCGCGGUAAUUC